Molecule: ribosomal RNA, 447 nt
Filed under: uncultured bacterium
Lineage: Bacteria
Description: bacterial SSU rRNA
Rfam family: Bacterial small subunit ribosomal RNA
Source: RNAcentral
UCGGGAAUUUUGGGCAAUGGGCGAAAGCCUGACCCAGCAACGCCGCGUGAAGGAUGAAGCAUUUCGGUAUGUAAACUUCGAAAGAAUAGGAAGAGUAAAUGACGGUACUAUUUAUAAGGUCCGGCUAACUACGUGCCAGCAGCCGCGGUAAUACGUAGGGACCAAGCGUUGUUCGGAUUUACUGGGCGUAAAGGGCGCGUAGGCGGCAUGACAAGUCACUUGUGAAAUCUCUGGGCUUAACCCAGAACGGCCAAGUGAUACUGUCGCGCUAGAGUGCAGAAGGGGCAAUCGGAAUUCUUGGUGUAGCGGUGAAAUGCGUAGAUAUCAAGAGGAACACCUGAGGUGAAGACGGGUUGCUGGGCUGACACUGACGCUGAGGCGCGAAAGCCAGGGGAGCAAACGGGAUUAGAUACCCAAGUAGUCCCUGAGCGGGCUGGCAAGGCGCAU